UAGUCUUGAAGGUGACAUCUUUGCUUUUUAACACUUUAAAGAGGUUUUUUUUUUUUUGGAGCAGAUUUACCCAAUGCAGUGCAUCAUUUGAUUUCUUGACUGCUGCUUCAGUGGGUGUUGAUCGUGGAUCCAAGGAAAAGGAAAUCCUUGACAACUUCAAUCUUUUCUCCAUUUCUCAUGAUGUUGUUUACUGGUCCAGUCAUGAGGAUUUUUGUUUUCUUUAUGUUGAGGUGUAAUCCAUGCUGAAGGCUGUGGUCUUUGAUCUUCACCAGUACUUCAAGUCCUCUUUACUUUCAGCAAGCAAGGUUGUAUCAUCUGCAUAGUGCAGGUUGUUAAUAAGUCUUCCUCCAAUCCUAAUGUCCCAUUCUUCUUCAUAUAGUCCAGCUUCUCAGAUUAUUUGCUCAUCAUUGAAUAAGUAUGAUGAAAGGAUGGAACCCUAAUGCACACCUUUCCUGAUAGAUGUCAUGAACUCCACUGCCUAUAAAUUUUAAGUGAUAAAUUAGUAAAUGGAAUCUUGUAUAAAUCAAUUUGGCAAGUUGGGGAGUUUGUCUAAUUGGAGUGUGUGUGCCCUUCUGAAAGAUGGAGAGUUUAUUCAGGGUCAGAAUAUGGUUGUAUUACGGGCCAGUACUAAGUGAUCAGCCACAAUUUUUCAGGAGAAUGUACAAAUCUGGAUUUUUGUGUGAGUGUGAAAUAUAUCAAUUUAAAUUUUUGCUACUAAUUUAAUUCUUUAAAAACAUUCUGCAAGAUUAAAAUAACAUCCAGGAACAGUGCACGACCUCUGUUCUAAGGUAUCACAAAGAUAUAUUUAAAAAAAUAAUCACUUUUUCUGAUUAUGCAGAGAAAUGGCUAUUUUAAUUCACUGUUUUGAGACUGUUUUACUUACACUCAUUUUUAUCUCCCCUUUACUUCAUGAUGAGCGUUCCCACUUUUCAAUUGAAUUGGUUAUGCUUUAUGAAACAUCACAAUGCAUUCUUACUGUGUUCUUUGCUUCUAUCCUCAAAAAUGAAUGAGAACAGAGUGAUAUCCAUGGAGCUGAACUUACCCUAUUCAAUGAAGCAAAAAGGCAAAGCAUAUCCAGCUCAAAAAAGGAGAGGAUUUCCAUGGCAUGUUAUUGCAGUAUUCCUGGGAAUCAUAUGUUUUCGUCUCCUGCUGGCAAUCACAGGUUUAGGAUACAUGUAAACACUGAAAAAAUCAAGGAAAAACUGUGAGAAUCAACUUUGUCAGAACUCUGGAAAAUAGUCAAAGAUCUACAGCAACCAAGCAAAUACUGAAUCAAGAAAAAGGCAACUUAAAAAUGGGAGGAAAAUUUUGCAGCACUUUUACUCACCCUGGUCUCACACUGCUCCCCAACGUGGCAGUG
Long non-coding RNA from Loxodonta africana (African savanna elephant), 1360 nucleotides. RefSeq lists it as uncharacterized. The transcript is spliced from 3 exons. NCBI's taxonomy places the organism in Eukaryota, Metazoa, Chordata, Mammalia, Proboscidea, Elephantidae. The record is from RefSeq and is a predicted model, not a curated record.